This 1362-nucleotide ribosomal RNA is filed under the name uncultured bacterium. Its description in RNAcentral is "bacterial SSU rRNA". It matches the Rfam family "Bacterial small subunit ribosomal RNA", at positions 34 to 1397 of the family's 1533-position model. The record is from RNAcentral.
CGCUGGCGGCGUGCUUAACACAUGCAAGUCGAACGGGCUGCCUGGUUUUCGGAUCGGGUGGUGAGUGGCGAACGGGUGAGUAACACGUGAGUAACCUGCCCCUCUCUUUGGGAUAACGUCGGGAAAUCGGCGCUAAUACCGGGUAUUCUGGCUUCCUCGCAUGGGGUUGUUGGGAAAGGUUUUUUCUGGUGGGGGAUGGGCUCGCGGCCUAUCAGCUUGUUGGUGGGGUGAUGGCCUACCAAGGCGGUGACGGGUAGCCGGCCUGAGAGGGUGUCCGGCCACACUGGGACUGAGACACGGCCCAGACUCCUACGGGAGGCAGCAGUGGGGAAUAUUGCACAAUGGGCGGAAGCCUGAUGCAGCGACGCCGCGUGGGGGAUGACGGCCUUCGGGUUGUAAACCUCUUUCAGUGCAGAACAAGGCUCUUUGUGGGUUGAGGGUAUGCGCAGAAGAAGCGCCGGCUAACUACGUGCCAGCAGCCGCGGUAAUACGUAGGGCGCGAGCGUUGUCCGGAUUUAUUGGGCGUAAAGAGCUCGUAGGCGGUUUGUCGCGUCUGCUGUGAAAUCCUCUGGCUUAACUGGGGGCGUGCAGUGGGUACGGGCAGACUGGAGUGCGGUAGGGGAGACUGGAAUUCCUGGUGUAGCGGUGGAAUGCGCAGAUAUCAGGAGGAACACCGGUGGCGAAGGCGGGUCUCUGGGCCGUUACUGACGCUGAGGAGCGAAAGCAUGGGGAGCGAACAGGAUUAGAUACCCUGGUAGUCCAUGCCGUAAACGUUGGGAACUAGGUGUGGGGUCCAUUCCACGGGUCCUGUGCCGUAGCUAACGCAUUAAGUUCCCCGCCUGGGGAGUACGGCCGCAAGGCUAAAACUCAAAGGAAUUGACGGGGGCCCGCACAAGCGGCGGAGCAUGCGGAUUAAUUCGAUGCAACGCGAAGAACCUUACCAAGGCUUGACAUGCAUUCGACGUCUCCAGAGAUGGGGGUUCCGUAAGGCGGGUGCACAGGUGGUGCAUGGUUGUCGUCAGCUCGUGUCGUGAGAUGUUGGGUUAAGUCCCGCAACGAGCGCAACCCUUGUUCCAUGUUGCCAGCGGGUGAUGCCGGGGACUCAUGGGAGACUGCCGGGGUCAACUCGGAGGAAGGUGGGGAUGACGUCAAAUCAUCAUGCCCCUUAUGUCUUGGGCUUCACGCAUGCUACAAUGGCCGGUACAAAGGGUUGCGAUCCUGUGAGGGGGAGCGAAUCCCAAAAAGCCGGUCUCAGUUCGGAUUGGGGUCUGCAACUCGACCCCAUGAAGUCGGAGUCGCUAGUAAUCGCAGAUCAGCAACGCUGCGGUGAAUACGUUCUCGGGCCUUGUACACACCGCCCGU